RNA transcript from Episyrphus balteatus (marmalade hoverfly), 1902 nucleotides. It is a transcript of the gene named nucleoside diphosphate kinase homolog 5, with no coding region annotated. NCBI's taxonomy places the organism in Eukaryota, Metazoa, Arthropoda, Insecta, Diptera, Syrphidae. The record is from RefSeq and is a predicted model, not a curated record. The transcript is spliced from 3 exons.
UGAAGUCAAAAGCAUUCCUUCGUCGUCACAAUGAAACAUAAUUUCAAUCCUAAAAUGUAAAUUCUCAAGUUUUAAUUUAAUUAAAAAACCGAAAGUGGAUUUGAAUGGUAGAUACUACCAAAAUCAAACAAUUCAGCUGUAGGUAUGUUUCCAAUCGACUAAGGCCUCAAAAAUCAUCAUGAAGCAUUCAUUUUCUCCAGAAAGCUUUAAGGGGAUCUAGGAGUUAUCAUGCGCAGAGAAGAUGAAAAUUCAUUGCAGCUUUUUCACCAAUGAACAAGCCAUACGCAUCGACCAAGGACUCACCGAGAGACUACCUUACACCAAUUUCCUAAAUCAGUCACUGAACGACCGACGGUUCACUUGCAGUGUAAGGCAAUACGUUUCACUCAUAAAAUUUGAAAAACUUAAUCCGCCCGGCCCCAUCCUUAUCUCUACCAUCGAAUAUUUUCUAUAUGUGUUUCCUGGGAGAAAAAAAAAAUAAUUGAAAAUAUUCAAACACAAGAAUCUCAUUCUCAAAGGAUUAAUUCUGUGUGAAUAUAAGAAGAAGUGCUUUAGCUGGUCUGCUCUCUGUGCGAUGAUAAGUUUUGGCAUUCCAAGGAUUGUGUAUAGUUUGGUUAUUUUGUUGUUUGUGUUUAAUAGUGUGUGAAUUGUCCUCGAAAAAAAGGACAAAAGAGCAAAAUAAAAAGAAAAAAAUGUAGAAUAUUUUACUAAACGAGUUUUGAAAUUGAGUUUUUGCCUCCAUGGCUGUACGAGUGUAUUUUUAAAAGGAUUCGUUUGUCCAACACCCACUUUAUUCCCCUUAUAUGUUGGUAUGAACGGUAUACUAUCGCACUGAUACAGUUGACCCGGCGUUAAGUCAUGUGUGGCGACGUCAGUGGUAGUGAAAUUACGCUCUAAAUUAUUCACCGUGAAAAAAGGAUUUCAUUUUUGUGGUUUGGCGAGUCUGUUUGGAUUUUCUUUUUUAUUUAUUUUUCCGUUCUCGUUCGCUCUGCAUUUAUACUUUUACCAGCAAAAAUUGCACAAGGAUAAUAAAAGAAAAGCAGCAAAAAAGUUUCUUCUAAUGAUACAGUAUACAUUAUAUGUGUGGAUAUUUAUUGUUCUUGUUAAGGAUACCUUACCUGGUAUACACCAACCUUUCGUGUGUAUGCCGAUGACAGCCAUGAGUGAAUAAAUAAAUACUGGAUUUUCACAUCCCAUCCAAGUAACAUCAACAACAACACGACAGCGAAAUUGUUGUUUACUUAUAAAAUAAGAAAAAGUGUCCUGUUUGUGUUGUUCUAUGUUUCAUGUGUUGUAUAUGUGUGUGGUGUAUACGGAGAAUAGAUUGAUUGCAGUGGCAAUGUGAUAUGAAUAAUUUAUUGCCACCAGGAUGUGCGAAUGUGAAUGUCUUUUAAAUAUGCCACACGCAUACCCGACUUAAUGGGAUUGCUUAGCAGAAAUCGGAAAAAGGAUACCUGUCCAAAUGCCAAGUGAAUUAUGCGAGUUUUUGUAUCUUUUAUGUGAUUUAUCAAUGAUUAAAGCUCGGUUUGGUGGCUAAACGCUGUGAGGUUUAUGUAUGAAAUUUUCUUCUUUGGCCCACCAUCACUCACCAUAUUUUUCUCUGGCUAGGAAUAAUGAAUGAUAAAUUGCGUGUGAUUAGUUUUAUCGCCAGCAUUGUUGAGAAAAUAAGUGUCAAGCCUUCAAAAGUAAACGUUUUUUGUGGAAAAAAUUGAAUAAUAUAAAGUUAAGGAGUGGAUAAAUAUUUAACUCUGGAUAUAAAUGAAUAUAAGAUAGAUAAAUUCAACUGGAUUUAUUUAACAAAAAUUUGGCACGAGCAAAAGUGUGACAAGGGUGGUAUCAUCAUUUGUGAGCAUUCAGGCAAAGGACCAUAGAUAAAUCAGCUAUUCGAUAGUGCUGUUUUUU